CAAAAAAUAGUUUAAAAAAUAUUAACUUUGGAAGUUAAAGAUAUAAGAAAUUAUUUUUUUGA
RNAcentral lists this transfer RNA (62 nucleotides) under Orussus occidentalis. RNAcentral's name for it is "tRNA-Pro". It matches the Rfam family "tRNA". Rfam says of the family: Transfer RNA (tRNA) molecules are approximately 80 nucleotides in length. Their secondary structure includes four short double-helical elements and three loops (D, anti-codon, and T loops). The record is from RNAcentral. Lineage: Eukaryota; Metazoa; Arthropoda; Insecta; Hymenoptera; Orussidae.